This 475-nucleotide ribosomal RNA is filed under the name uncultured bacterium. RNAcentral describes it as "bacterial SSU rRNA". It matches the Rfam family "Bacterial small subunit ribosomal RNA", at positions 32 to 517 of the family's 1533-position model. The record is from RNAcentral.
AAUCAACGCUGGCGGCGUGCCUCAGACAUGCAAGUCGAACGAUUAAAGCUCUCUUCGGAGAGUGCAUAAAGUGGCGCACGGGUGAGUAACACGUAAGUAAUCUACCUUCGAGUGGGGAAUAACGUCCGGAAACGGACGCUAAUACCGCAUAACGCAGCGGCAUCGCAAGAUGACAGUUGUUAAAGAUUUAUCGCUUGAAGAGGAGCUUGCGGCAGAUUAGCUUGUUGGUAAGGUAACGGCUUACCAAGGCUACGAUCUGUAUCCGGUCUAAGAGGACGGUCGGACACACUGACACUGAAUAACGGGUCAGACUCCUACGGGAGGCAGCAGUCGGGAAUUUUGGGCAAUGGGGGGAAACCCUGACCCAGCAACGCCGCGUGAAGGAUGAAGUAUUUCGGUAUGUAAACUUCGAAAGAAUAGGAAGAAUUAAUGACGUACUAUUUAUAAGGUCCGGCUAACUACGUGCCAGCAGCCG